This is a long non-coding RNA of Sinocyclocheilus grahami, 292 nucleotides long. RefSeq lists it as uncharacterized. NCBI's taxonomy places the organism in Eukaryota, Metazoa, Chordata, Actinopteri, Cypriniformes, Cyprinidae. The record is from RefSeq and is a predicted model, not a curated record. The transcript is spliced from 2 exons.
UGAUUGUGUGUGUGUGUGUGUGUGUGUGUGUGUGUGUUUUAGAGGGUGUUAAAGACACUCGCCCACAUUAAACACUCAAUAAUACACCAGCCACGACAUUCAAACAGCAUCAAGAGAAAAACAACAACAACUGAAAGGAACUGAGGAGAGAGUUUGGAAGCUCAAGUGCUCCGAUCACAGACUCAGGAAAGGCAGAGAUUAUUAGCUUAGCUCACUCACACACACACACACACACACACAGAGCGGAGGAGCACGUCACAAACACUGCUGAGCACGACACACACAUCUGCAC